Molecule: long non-coding RNA, 669 nt
Filed under: Macaca nemestrina (pig-tailed macaque)
Lineage: Eukaryota; Metazoa; Chordata; Mammalia; Primates; Cercopithecidae
Description: lncRNA (ENSMNEG00000046100.1)
Source: RNAcentral
CUUUACUUAAUUUUAUUUUAUUUCAUGCAUUGUUGGUACAAGGCAUUUUUUCUUUCCCCCAUCCUCCCUUCCUCCUUCCUCUAUUUUUUUGCUUCUCCCCCGCUCACCCCCAUCUCUAAUAUCAUUUUCACCCACCCACAGAGACGCUAUGUGUUUGUAAUUUUCUUCCGACCCUAAUGGCUCCGGUUUCCCCUCAGUAUUUAAGCGGAACAAGACAGAGGGAAGGCCCCAGGGAGCCGCCUCUUCAUCCACUCACAGGGCACUCCCUCCUCAGCUGGAACCUGGACCCUGGCUCAACCUGAAUUCCUUGGCCUCCACUGGUUUCUCUCUGGAGAUGCAUUUUCAACCUAGUCCUUCCUCCUGCUCUCUUUCCCACUCUGUAUCUCUGGAGUUACUGACUCCUGCACCCAUGCUGAAUGCAAUCCUCUUUUAUUGCUUAGGAAGUCUUGCACACGUACUGAAGCAUCUAAUCCUCCCCACAACCCUCAGAGGUGAGUACUGUGCUGAUACCCAUUUUAUAGAUGAGGAAACUGGAGUGCAAAGCGGUCAAAACAUCUGAAGCGACAUGUCCUUAAGUUGCUGAGCCAGAAAUGGAACCCACUCAUUGUGGCCUUACCCCUCAGCAAAACGCACUUUGCUCUGCCUACAUUGCCCUACUCACCCACAGCC